UCGGACGUUGUGCAUGGUGCACGCCCGCCUGCCGUAUGUUGUCUCUCCUGCGCAACGCAUGAAGCGGGAGCAGCGGGUUCGAUUCCCGGCGUCCGGA
Non-coding RNA from Mycena leptocephala, 97 nucleotides. Lineage: Eukaryota; Fungi; Basidiomycota; Agaricomycetes; Agaricales; Mycenaceae. The record is from the annotation of a GenBank genome assembly.